This 406-nucleotide ribosomal RNA is filed under the name uncultured prokaryote. Its description in RNAcentral is "bacterial SSU rRNA". It matches the Rfam family "Bacterial small subunit ribosomal RNA", at positions 355 to 776 of the family's 1533-position model. RNAcentral also lists the same sequence under 1 other name. The record is from RNAcentral.
UGGGGAAUAUUGCACAAUGGGCGAAAGCCUGAUGCAGCGACGCCGCGUGAGUGAAGAAGGUCUUCGGAUCGUAAAACUCUGUCCUUGGUGAAGAAAAAAAUGACGGUAGCCAAGGAGGAAGCCCCGGCUAACUACGUGCCAGCAGCCGCGGUAAUACGUAGGGGGCGAGCGUUGUCCGGAUUUACUGGGCGUAAAGGGUGAGUAGGCGGUUGUAUAAGUCAGAUGUAAAAGGCGUAGGCUCAACUUACGUAAGCUUUUGGAACUGUAAGACUUGAGUGCAGGAGAGGAGAGUGGAAUUCCUAGUGUAGCGGUGAAAUGCGUAGAUAUUAGGAGGAACACCAGUAGCGAAGGCGGCUCGAUGGACUGUAACUGACGCUGAGGCACGAAAGCGUGGGGAGCAAACAGG